GUUUAGAUGAUGUCAUGAUAGUGGGGCCCUCAUAAUGGGAUAAGUGCCCUUAUGAGGGAACAGCAGAGAACUUGCUUCCUCCCCACCCCACCCCAGCCCCCAUGUAAGGGUACAGGGAGAAGGUGGCUUUGCACUAGACAGGAAAAGAGCCCUCACCAGGGAACCAAAUCAGCUGUCUCCUUGAUGGCUUGGCUAUCCCAGCCUCCAGAAUUGCUGGUGAAAAAGCCUGGGGCAGUUUGAGUCAUGGAUCCCCCAUUUUGAUUCCUGUUUUGGUGGAAACACAAAGUAACCUAAGGCAGAUUAACCUAGGUUCUAUAAAUGAGAUUUAGAGGAUCUGCAGCCCUGUGGGAUGCCGUUACGAAGAAUCCAGAAAUAGUGAGUCCAUCACAAGUACCAUACGCAAUUUCAUUUCCACAUCUUCACUUGGACUUGAAACUCACCAGGAGCACCUUUCUGUUUCCCCUCUACCAAUUCAGGCCAAAGUUCAUCCCGAGUGUGGUUAACACCCAGCUUUCUGCAUUGCAUCAUCCGGAUCCCUCAGCAGUCAUUUGGGAAGCCAGAUACCAUGCUCUCUAGUGUGGUGUUUCAUCCAAGUCUCAAGUGAUGAAAGGAGACAGAAACUCGAAAUGCCUGACUGGCAUGGCAGCAGCCAAGAAGGGCCAACAUCCUGGAUAAGCAACUGGUCAGCCCCUCACAGCAAAACCAUGCAGGUCCCAAAGUGGUCAGAUAGCUGAGCGCAUGGCUGAGACAGCAGCUAGUCCUGUGAGGGCAGAGGGAAUCUCAGGAAAUGUAGACGAUGUCUCUGAUAAAUAUAUGCCUGUCAUAAAGUUUGGAGAACAGAAAGGCCAUCUCUCAUUUUCUCUGAGGAGAGUGCUUUCCUUGAAUUCUCAAAAGCAGUGUGAUACGUUAAUUAUAGUAAUCAAAUGGAACACCCCAACUUUCAUUCUG
RNAcentral lists this long non-coding RNA (948 nucleotides) under Homo sapiens (human). Its description in RNAcentral is "HSALNT0307474". The record is from RNAcentral. Lineage: Eukaryota; Metazoa; Chordata; Mammalia; Primates; Hominidae.